AGUAACUUGAUUCCUUUUCGGUAACGGC
Molecule: small RNA, 28 nt
Filed under: Bombyx mori (domestic silkworm)
Lineage: Eukaryota; Metazoa; Arthropoda; Insecta; Lepidoptera; Bombycidae
Description: ovarian small RNA-12247
Source: RNAcentral